GAUGAACGCUAGCUACAGGCUUAACACAUGCGAGUCGCGGGGCAGCAUGGGGGUUGCUUGCAAUCCCCGAUGGCGACCGGCGCACGGGUGAGUAACGCGUAUCCAACCUGCCCUUCACCACGGGAUAACCCGGCGAAAGUCGGACUAAUACCGUAUGUUGUCCAUUGACGGCAUCCGAUUUGGACGAAAGGUUUGGCGGUGAAGGAUGGGGAUGCGUCCGAUUAGCUGGACGGCGGGGUGACGGCCCACCGUGGCGACGAUCGGUAGGGGUUCUGAGAGGAAGGUCCCCCACACUGGAACUGAGACACGGUCCAGACUCCUACGGGAGGCAGCAGUGAGGAAUAUUGGUCAAUGGGCGUAAGCCUGAACCAGCCAAGUAGCGUGCAGGAUGACGGCCCUAUGGGCUGUAAACUGCUUUUAUGCGGGGAUAAAGUGGCCCACGUGUGGGUUUUUGCAGGUACCGCAUGAAUAAGGACCGGCUAAUUCCGUG
Molecule: ribosomal RNA, 490 nt
Filed under: uncultured bacterium
Lineage: Bacteria
Description: partial 16S ribosomal RNA
Rfam family: Bacterial small subunit ribosomal RNA
Source: RNAcentral